RNAcentral lists this ribosomal RNA (241 nucleotides) under uncultured bacterium. RNAcentral's name for it is "partial 16S ribosomal RNA". It matches the Rfam family "Bacterial small subunit ribosomal RNA", at positions 92 to 334 of the family's 1533-position model. The record is from RNAcentral.
CGACCGGCGCACGGGUGAGUAACACGUAUCCAACCUGCCUCAUACUCGGGGAUAGCCUUUCGAAAGAAAGAUUAAUAUCCGAUAGCAUAUAUUUCCCGCAUGGGUUUUAUAUUAAAGAAAUUCGGUAUGAGAUGGGGAUGCGUUCCAUUAGGCAGUUGGUGAGGUAACGGCUCACCAAACCUUCGAUGGAUAGGGGUUCUGAGAGGAAGGUCCCCCACAUUGGAACUGAGACACGGUCCAA